This 29-nucleotide small RNA is filed under the name Bombyx mori (domestic silkworm). Its description in RNAcentral is "piRNA piR-bmo-1830236". Lineage: Eukaryota; Metazoa; Arthropoda; Insecta; Lepidoptera; Bombycidae. The record is from RNAcentral.
ACGACGUCGAAUUCGGGCGGAGCGCCCAC